UUUUUUUUUUUUUUAUCCUGUUUUUUUGCAGAGGAGACGAUGGAGUGCUCCAGCUCGUGCUGUGCUCAGAGGCUGCUCUGACAGAGCUGCAGGAAGAGCUGACGAAACCACGUGCAGUCCUAAGUGCGCAGUACAGCCCCAACUGACAUCACCUACAACUGUUCCCCUGAAAGAUUAAGACUGAUACAAGAUGUCAUGUCGGAAGAUGCUUUCAAAAAUUUUCACAAUAUCUUCUGUAACUGGAGAUGAACAUCAAGCUAGACCUUCUGUGGGUGGCAGAACCAAACCAAACAUUGCAACUAUGAUAGAGAAACUAUGAACUAACUUUCAUUUAGAAACUAUCAAGAGAAAAGCAGCUCCAGCUGUCAGAAUAAAAGUAAACUGAAAAUAUAAUGAGUUAGCAGGCACCCACCAGUACCCGUCAUGCUGUGCCGCAGGCUCAGCUCUGCCGCUCACGCCACACGUGCUGCCUUGUGACAGGGAGCGGAGUGGCUGAAGAGCAAAGAAGUGCCUUGGACAAACUUGCGGUUCAGAUAAACCAAAUCUUACUCAAACACUCUGCUAUCUUUCAGACCAGUUAUUUGCAUAUGUUAAAAUCUAAUUUGAAUUGUUCAUCACAUAGAACUAGGCAAGCUUUUUUUUUUUUUUUUAAUGAGAGAUGUAACUUCAGGGCACUAUUAAAUUCUAAUUAAAAAUCAGUCAAAAGCACCCUUUUCUUAGUGUUUGUGCCUGCAGCAACACUUCCACUGUGGUAUCAAAAGCUCAGUUCAUUACUUCUUAAUUAAUUUUGCCUUGAGAAGCUCUAAGUUCUCAGAGGACCUGUUGGGUUUUUAGAGUGUUGUCUACAUAGUGUUUGCUUGUACACAGCAGCCACAAUGACAUUCAGAUCAGGAAUCCUUACCCAUGUAAUCCAAUUUGGUACAAUGUCUGCAGCCUGCCAGCGUUUGGGAACCUGAAAGAUGCCUGAAGUUCACAAUACAGAGGAUAUCCUGCCUGGAGCUAUUGGUAUGGUAGGGAUUUUCCCAUCUCCCUAUUCCCAGUGUGUCUAUUUUAUAGUUGAAAAGGUUGGUAUACAGGUUGAUUGAUUUUUUUGUGUGUGAGUGUUUUGGUUUUAGGUGUUGGUUUUUUUUUGUAAGGAAGAUCAUGAUGAAUAGAAAACUAGUCUUGCUCCUGUCCCCAAAGAAGUCUUGUCUGAAAUACUUGAGUCAGCCAAGAUUUUUUCCCUCUACCAGGCUACUGGAGAUGUGCAUGUUUGUUUUUUUUUUCAAGAUAAGUAUCCUGCAAUCCAGAUCUCCCACUGCAAAUGAUUCAUUUCCCCUCUUGGCCUGGCUGUGUGCGCACGUGUCUGGUGGUGGUGAGCCAGAGCUGACCAGUGCCCUGGGACAAAGAAAGGAAAAGAAGGUAAAAGGGCGGGGGAGAAUAAUCUACCCAGUCUCAGGGGACAUUUUUCACCAGUUUAGGGCAUUUCCACCAGAACAGUUUUGGUAAUGAACAGACCAUAAAUGUGCUUGGGGUGGCUUGAACAUCUGAGCAUUCCUUGAACUCUACAAGACAAGGGUUUGGCAGGAGAGUGUGAACCAAACUUGCAAAUGUUCCCCUGAGCUGGGCCAAGAGGGACAUCUGUAGCUGCUGUCUGUGCCAGGAGGGACCUGGAUGAUAUAAAUUUCUAUUAGGAACCUUUGUAUUAAGCCUAGUUUGCACAAGCAGACCCUGUAACUAUCAAAGGCAAUAGUUCAAAUAUGCCUUCAUGUGUGUCCAAGUCUUCGUGCUGCAAGGCACAG
Cyanistes caeruleus (blue tit) is the source of this 1781-nucleotide non-coding RNA. The record is from RefSeq and is a predicted model, not a curated record. NCBI's taxonomy places the organism in Eukaryota, Metazoa, Chordata, Aves, Passeriformes, Paridae.